GAUGUUUUUUUGGGAUGUAGGGGUAGCGAGGGGAAGGUGGGAGGUGAAGCGGCGGCGGAGGAGAAGUGGUGGUUGGAACAGCGCGCGGAGGCGCGGCGGCGGCGGCGGUACCGCUGGAGUGAGAGUAGGGUGAGGGUCGACGCGCGUACGGGGAGGGUGCGGGUGGCGCGGUGGCACGAGAGGGCGAGGGAGGAGGGGAAGGGCGCGGCGGUGGUGCCGAGGAGGGCGGCGCCGGAGAGGCGGGCGAGGCGGAGGAGGUUGCCGCGGCGCGUCCUGUGGCGGCAGUGGCAUGCGGUGAAACGGCGCCUCGGGUGGUUCCCGCCGUUCGAGAGGCCGCAGUUCUUCUAGUACUAAGAGCCGCGCCCCGGAUAGCAGUAGCCAGUCCGCACGCUCAAGCUGAUGAGGCCGUGUGUCCGAACGUUCCGCGAGCAGCUCCUCCCUAUGCUCCACCACGAGCAGUUGAGGUUGGGCCGGUGGUAGUACUGGCUGGGGCUGGAGCGGGUGGCGUGAAUGUAGCCCGGGUACUGGGGCGGCGAGCAGCUCCCGUAGUAGCGGUCACUCGCGGGGCUACGCGAGGAGGGGUGGUACCCGCCUGUCUGCCGCGAGUUGGAGCGGCAGAGAGAGCGACUUAGGCCGCGCGAGCUAGCCGAGCCACACGCGGAGUAGCCGCGAAGGGAGGGACGAUAGGCGCGACGCCUCCUGGCGGUCGAGAAGUUCGUCCGGUACCUGGCGUAGCCUGAGUUCUGCGGGGGGAGACCGUAGCCGUGGUGCGAGCUCCUCACGGAGCGUUAGCGGUUCCUGUAACCACUCAAGGGGGACUAACAGGCUGGUCGAAAGUGUGAACCACCGUGACCCCCUCCGUAGCGGAUAUUGUCCCGGCUCAAACUCCUGUAAACGGCCAGACCAGACCGCCGAAGUGUGUGCGUCGUCCACGAACACCUCUUUAGGGACGAGCCCACCUUCCUCAUGCUCGACCUCCACUACGCACUGUACCGGCUGUUACACCAGUAGUAGACGAGGUAACUCUUAUAGCUGGGGUACCCGCACGUAUGUCCGCUAAGUUAGUGCCACCGCGGACGAGUCUGCGAGUGACUAUUCCUCAUGGUCUCUGAGUCCCUGGUGAGACACCGGUAGUAGGCCCUCUAACCACACCUCACGCCACCAAGGUUACACGUCAAGCGACACUUGGGAUGUCUACCCCUCCAGUACCACUAACUCUACUUGGGGUCCCAAAGUUCCAGUAGUCGAGAACGUAGUUUCCGCUGACCCAAGGGCUAUCGGUUCUACCGUCGUUUUGAGAGUCAUCCAAUAUGCAACCUGGUCUAAGGUUUACUAUAGUGUUUCUUCUGCGGACGAUCGAAACUCGGGAGAUAACUGAUACAACAGUGUUUCUAUGGCGCUAAACGCAAACUCUUUAAGGGACCAAGACUUGGUUAUAAUUGGUGUGUCUACUUCAGACAACCACUCAGUUACCGUAAUCCCGCCUGGAAGGUCCUUAGAAAGGUCUUUCGACAAGCAAGGAACCUCUGACCGAAACGUCCCACCCCAACACGUGGGUAGUUCCUUGAACUGACCCUGACCCUUUUCUAUUUUAUAUCGAAUGCACAUGGAUUAGGUCUAGCAUAGGUACGACAAAUACGACGAAAGUUCUUUCCGUACUCCCAACUUCUGUAUGUACUUUAAUCAAAAUAACUAUUUACCAAAGAAUGUCUCGAGUUCCUCGAUCAACUACAACUCGUCAAGGAACAAAGUUUCUUGAAUCUGGUCGAGAGUUUUCUACUGAAGAUAGUUCACUUCUCCUCCCCAAAAUCACUGUUCGUCUAACGUAAACGCUGUAGAAGCAGUCUUUCACUACACUCUCGCUCCGCAAGACGUAAUCCUCAGUGAGGCUGUAUGUUCGCACAACUAUGGACACGGCGACUCAAACUUCGGUUGUGGGGCAUAUACAUGAGAAGUAUACUCAUACUUACGCUCAGUCGAGGUUGAUUAGCCUUCUUUCAGAAUUAUAACCCACCACCUGGGUUAUCCUAUCCCGUCCCAUAACUCAAACUAAUGACGACAACGGUACGGAGUAAACGCGAGGCUCUCCGGCCUAUACUCUGAUAUUACUACUUGAGGUUAGGCCUCUGACAGAGUUGACUGAUACUAUGGUCGCUGGCCGACAUGAAACUUGGUAACUGUCAACUCCUACAUUGUUUACAGUAACUAAACCUCGCGGGUCUACCAUAUUAACACGUCAUGCCUCCCGUUUGAGGAGAUUUCGAGCGGGAAGGUUAUGUUGCGGUAGAUCUCCUCUUCUUCGACGCCAGACGAAGUCCGUGUCCUAAACACUUCUAUACCCCUUGCAGUGGGCUAAGAUAACUACGGCGUCUCCUGUCUUUUUCUAAAUUGCGUUAAGAACUUCUCGAACCCUAACUCGUUGGAUUUCCUCCCUAUCGUUCUUCACUCAGACUACGCAACAGUUAACGAAGUCUUCAUCCGAUGGGACAACAACAGGCCGGGAGUAUACAAGAACCACCUGCUCGUUACCUCUAACACAUGUUACUACUUUUUAACUAUUUCAUGGAACGCUGACGUCACGUUCAUCUAGGUCUUGCCGGACAGGACCACCUAUUUAUAGACUUACUACGUUAACUUUAACUAUAACUACGUAAUCGUCUGAGUCAACCCUUACAACACUAGCCACCUUAAUACCUCGUAUAACUCGUCCGACCAUAUGUAAGACCACUAAGACGUACAAGGGAAGGGUGAUCUUGCCAGAGUUGGUUCACGAAUCUAUAAUAAGCCAGUACCUGGUGUUUCGAACGUUUCGCAGAGUUACAGACACCCGAGUACUUGACGGUCAUGCGAUAGUGAGGAUGACCACUCCACAUGGAAGAACUCCGUUUAGGAGCUCGAAGUGCGUGUCAGGGAAAACAGAGUUUUCGUUAACCGGUGGGUAACCGAUUUAUACGUAGAGAUUAGUACAGACCUCACUGGAACGGUCUCGAACCCAAAUGCUUUCUUCACUAAGGAUUCGUACAAAGACAGUUCCUCCGACAAGAAGGUAAACUCUUUAAGGUUCCGACACUGUAAGAAGAACCUGGUCUCUACGCGUCGUGACCUCUCCAAUACCCGUAACUGAUACUCAAAAGACCACGCAAACGCUUCCGGGUCUAACGGCGACCUGUCUAUGAGGGAUAUUCACCGUGACACAAACAAUCGGAUUUACUGAACUGAUUUGCGGUGGAACGACUUUAACCCGCACCCAAGGCACUUGAACCCAAGUUGUAGUAACGUUGUAGACCUUGUCGGUUUCAUGAAGUCGAACUCCCGUAGGGUCACCUCGGUCAAGACUUCUAUGUACUCCCCGCCGGUUUACGGUCUCUAUACGAGUUCUUACCAGUCUAUGUCCACUACCACUAUUGUUCGAGUCCGCUACUGGAACUGAGCUCUCUACCGGAGGUCGACGCAUCCGAUCGAGACCGGAUGUUCCACGGGUAUUAGUGUUGACACCUACCACGUGCCCGAUGGUACCUGCGGUAGUUCUCAUACUUCUUGUUCAGUUAACUCUAAGAACGUAACGUUCUGAUAAAGGUCGGACGGCUACGUGGUGUCUUCAACGGGCGACGUGUUCGACGGGGAAUCCCAGUACAUGGGAGUACGAGCGGGAAAAGGUAGAUUACAGAAAUAAUAAGAUUAUAUACUUGAUCUUAGGACGCGGUACAUCCUAAAACAAAUGGACGACGAUGCUAUCAGCGUGGAUGACGUACGCGUUUCCGUUCACAGCCGGACCUCUAGUGUAAACCAACGACUCGCAACCCUCAGUCUUUAACUAUAACCCCUAUAAACAUAAAAAUGGUACAUUCUCAUCCCAGCCGUAGAUGGAUAUCUUAUUCCGGAGGUCAACGUUAGACUACCACCAUAGUAGAGGGUAUGACCUCGUACAUGAACAUAGGGGCUCCACGUUUAAACUCGUUGAAUAGAUAUAACAUGACAUAAACAGGGGUUUGUAACACUACUAUUAAAAAUAGACGGUACGAGGACCAAUAGGGGCUCCGC
Molecule: ribosomal RNA, 4041 nt
Filed under: Triticum aestivum (bread wheat)
Lineage: Eukaryota; Viridiplantae; Streptophyta; Magnoliopsida; Poales; Poaceae
Description: partial small subunit ribosomal RNA
Source: RNAcentral